RNAcentral lists this long non-coding RNA (201 nucleotides) under Zea mays. RNAcentral's name for it is "long non-coding RNA NONZMAT000275". The record is from RNAcentral. Lineage: Eukaryota; Viridiplantae; Streptophyta; Magnoliopsida; Poales; Poaceae.
CUCCCAGUGAAAACUGUUUGUGUCCUCAAGCUCAAGCAUACCACCAUCGCCAGUCUCAGCCCAACGCUCUGCCUCAACAACUCACCUUGCCGUUUACCUUUUUGUUCUUUGGUCGUCGUCCAUAGAAAAGAAUCCCCAUCGUCAGGUCAUUUAUCCACUCCAAGCCAGCGUCCAUGAUAGGGUGAGGCAGGUAUGGUCUUU